This 527-nucleotide ribosomal RNA is filed under the name Alternaria alternata. Its description in RNAcentral is "eukaryotic LSU rRNA". The stretch from base 161 to 314 matches the Rfam family "5.8S ribosomal RNA". The record is from RNAcentral. Lineage: Eukaryota; Fungi; Ascomycota; Dothideomycetes; Pleosporales; Pleosporaceae.
CAUGCACGUGCGUCGUGGAUCUCUCGGGGUUACAGCCUUGCUGAAUUAUUCACCCUUGUCUUUUGCGUACUUCUUGUUUCCUUGGUGGGUUCGCCCACCACUAGGACAAACAUAAACCUUUUGUAAUUGCAAUCAGCGUCAGUAACAAAUUAAUAAUUACAACUUUCAACAACGGAUCUCUUGGUUCUGGCAUCGAUGAAGAACGCAGCGAAAUGCGAUAAGUAGUGUGAAUUGCAGAAUUCAGUGAAUCAUCGAAUCUUUGAACGCACAUUGCGCCCUUUGGUAUUCCAAAGGGCAUGCCUGUUCGAGCGUCAUUUGUACCCUCAAGCUUUGCUUGGUGUUGGGCGUCUUGUCUCUAGCUUUGCUGGAGACUCGCCUUAAAGUAAUUGGCAGCCGGCCUACUGGUUUCGGAGCGCAGCACAAGUCGCACUCUCUAUCAGCAAAGGUCUAGCAUCCAUUAAGCCUUUUUUCAACUUUUGACCUCGGAUCAGGUAGGGAUACCCGCUGAACUUAAGCAUAUCAAUAAG